GACGAACGCUGGCGGCGUGCCUAAUACAUGCAAGUUGAACGCAACAAAGACACCAGAGCUUGCUCUACCGUCUUUGUUGAGUAGCGAACGGGUGAGUAACGCGUGGGUAACCUGCCUUAUAGCGGGGGAUAACUAUUGGAAACGAUAGCUAAUACCGCAUAACAAUAGAGAUUGCAUAAUCUUUAUUUGAAAGUACCAACUGGUACACUAUGAGAUGGACCCGCGUUGUAUUAGCUAGUUGGUAGUGUAAUGGACUACCAAGGCGAUGAUACAUAGCCGACCUGAGAGGGUGAUCGGCCACAUUGGGACUGAGACACGGCCCAAACUCCUACGGGAGGCAGCAGUAGGGAAUCUUCGGCAAUGGACGAAAGUCUGACCGAGCAACGCCGCGUGAGUGAAGAAGGUUUUCGGAUCGUAAAACUCUGUUGUUAGAGAAGAAUGUUGAUUAGAGUGGAAAAUUAAUCAAGUGACGGUAUCUAACCAGAAAGGGACGGCUAACUACGUGCCAGCAGCCGCGGUAAUACGUAGGUCCCGAGCGUUGUCCGGAUUUAUUGGGCGUAAAGCGAGCGCAGGUGGUUUAAUAAGUCUGAUGUAAAAGGCAGUGGCUCAACCAUUGUGUGCAUUGGAAACUGUUAGACUUGAG
Molecule: ribosomal RNA, 643 nt
Filed under: uncultured Lactococcus sp.
Lineage: Bacteria; Bacillati; Bacillota; Bacilli; Lactobacillales; Streptococcaceae
Description: bacterial SSU rRNA
Rfam family: Bacterial small subunit ribosomal RNA
Source: RNAcentral